AGCAGCCGCGGUAAUUCCAGCUCCAAUAGCGUAUAUUAAAGUUGUUGCAGUUAAAAAGCUCGUAGUUGAAUUUCGGGAUCAAUACGUCGGUCGUGCUUCGGUACGUACUGGUGUCAUUGAUUUCUCCCUUCUGACGAACCAUGAUGUCAUUAACUUGGUGUCAUGGGAAAUCAGGACUGUUACUUUGAAAAAAUUAGAGUGUUUAAAGCAGGCUCACGCUUGAAUACAUUAGCAUGGAAUAAUGAAAUAGGACGUUCGAUCCUAUUUUGUUGGUUUCUAGGAUUGACGUAAUGAUUAAUAGGGAUAGUUGGGGGCAUUAGUAUUCAAUUGUCAGAGGUGAAAUUCUUGGAUUUAUUGAAGACUAACUACUGCGAAAGCAUUUGCCAAGGAUGUUUUCAUUAAUCAAGAACGAAAGUUAGGGGAUCGAAGACGAUCAGAUACCGUCGUAGUCUCAACCAUAAACGAUGCCGACCAGGGAUCGGCGGAUGUUGCUCUAAGGACUCCGCCAGCACCUUCUG
This 518-nucleotide ribosomal RNA is filed under the name uncultured Glomeraceae. Its description in RNAcentral is "SSU rRNA". It matches the Rfam family "Eukaryotic small subunit ribosomal RNA", at positions 569 to 1092 of the family's 1831-position model. Lineage: Eukaryota; Fungi; Glomeromycota; Glomeromycetes; Glomerales; Glomeraceae. The record is from RNAcentral.